Molecule: ribosomal RNA, 255 nt
Filed under: uncultured bacterium
Lineage: Bacteria
Description: partial 16S ribosomal RNA
Rfam family: Bacterial small subunit ribosomal RNA
Source: RNAcentral
UACAGAGGGGGCAAGCGUUGUUCGGAAUUACUGGGCGUAAAGGGCGCGUAGGCGGCCCGCUAAGUCGAACGUGAAAUCCCCGGGCUCAACCCGGGAACUGCGUCCGAUACUGGCAGGCUUGAAUCCGGGAGAGGGAUGCGGAAUUCCAGGUGUAGCGGUGAAAUGCGUAGAUAUCUGGAGGAACACCGGUGGCGAAGGCGGCAUCCUGGACCGGCAUUGACGCUGACGGCGCGAAAGCCAGGGGAGCAAAGCGGG